UCCUGGCUGGCUCAGUGGGUACAGCAUUUGACUCUUGAUCUCAGGGUCAUGAGUUCAAGCCCCAUGCUGGGUG
Molecule: transfer RNA, 73 nt
Filed under: Ailuropoda melanoleuca (giant panda)
Lineage: Eukaryota; Metazoa; Chordata; Mammalia; Carnivora; Ursidae
Rfam family: tRNA
About the family: Transfer RNA (tRNA) molecules are approximately 80 nucleotides in length. Their secondary structure includes four short double-helical elements and three loops (D, anti-codon, and T loops). Further hydrogen bonds mediate the characteristic L-shaped molecular structure. tRNAs have two regions of fundamental functional importance: the anti-codon, which is responsible for specific mRNA codon recognition, and the 3' end, to which the tRNAs corresponding amino acid is attached (by aminoacyl-tRNA synthetases). tRNAs cope with the degeneracy of the genetic code in two manners: having more than one tRNA (with a specific anti-codon) for a particular amino acid; and 'wobble' base-pairing, i.e. permitting non-standard base-pairing at the 3rd anti-codon position.
Source: Rfam by way of RNAcentral